UACGUAGGUGGCAAGCGUUGUCCGGAUUUACUGGGCGUAAAGCGCACGCAGGUGGCUCAUAUAGUCUAGGGUGAAAUCUCCUGGCUCAACCAGGAGAGGUCUCUGGAUACUCAUGGGCUUGAGGGCAGCAGAGGAGAGCAGAAUUCCCGGUGUAGCGGUGAUAUGCGUAGAUAUCGGGAGGAAUACCAGUGGCGAAGGCGGCUCUCUGGGCUGUCCCUGACGCUGAGGUGCGAAAGCGUGGGGAGCAAACCGG
Molecule: ribosomal RNA, 253 nt
Filed under: uncultured bacterium
Lineage: Bacteria
Description: partial 16S ribosomal RNA
Rfam family: Bacterial small subunit ribosomal RNA
Source: RNAcentral